AUAUCUUUCUGUACGGGAAGGAUGAGAAGCUUCGACUAAGGUUCGAUUCGAGCGCAGCGAGAAAGCGUUGCCGCAGGCAACGACCCGAAGGGCGAAG
This 97-nucleotide small RNA is filed under the name Salmonella enterica subsp. enterica serovar Alachua. RNAcentral describes it as "partial RtT sRNA". It matches the Rfam family "RtT RNA", at positions 1 to 96 of the family's 130-position model. Rfam says of the family: This family represents a bacterial cis-regulatory element known as RtT RNA. The exact function of RtT is unknown although it is thought that it may be involved in changing the cellular response in relation to amino acid starvation. The record is from RNAcentral. Lineage: Bacteria; Pseudomonadati; Pseudomonadota; Gammaproteobacteria; Enterobacterales; Enterobacteriaceae.